UAAGAGCAUCAACAGUAUUUAUGUUUUUUUGUGUUUUAGUUCGUAGAUGUUCGAUUGUUGAAACCCACACUUCUCUCGCUCGGCGGAAUGUGGAUGCUGGUUGGAAAAUAACAGUUCUCUCUUCGAAGUCUUGAGCGUGGUGAGAGGAAUGAUUUGUAGGGUGUCAUAAGUCUAGGGGACGUUGGACGGUAACAAUCUUGUUGAAAGAUGAUGAGGCCGACGAAUGUCAGGACAGUAUAGAAACAAAGCAUAAUGCUGUAGAUAGGGAGAUGCUGAGUGAAAUGUUCGCAAGUCAAGAGAGCAAUGGCGAAGGCUUCAGUGACUUGUCUUAGCAGACAAUUUUUCUUUUAAGGAAGAUGGUAAAAUCCUCGCGAACAGCACCAAGGGGGCCGCCAAGCUUUACGUCCCCAAGGAUGGAUCACCUUCAACAAUGUAACAUGCACUCCUUCAUGAGACACUGUGGAGAAAUUUGGUAUUUAAACCAGGUUAUUGGCGCAAAGGCUGGUGAUCGCGAACAUUACACUACCACCCUACCUGCCUAUGCCAUCCAAAUACUGGCCGUGAAAAAUUCUUCCACUACAAUGAUUUGAACUGGCUCACUCGCUAAUUAGAGCGUCACCAGAUAGGCGUCUACAAAGGAAACUCAGGAGUAUGUCCCCAAUCACACCACUGAAGAAGAUGAGUGAAACAGAAAUUGCCACGUGGAGGGGCUGCACGGUUUGAGACUCCAUAUCGCAGAUUGUGUGCCCCUCCCCCCCCCCCUUUCCUCCCCCUUGUUGGAGGUCCAAGUCCUUCCUCAGGCAUGGGUGCA
Long non-coding RNA from Schistocerca americana (American grasshopper), 811 nucleotides. RefSeq lists it as uncharacterized. The record is from RefSeq and is a predicted model, not a curated record. The transcript has 3 exons. NCBI's taxonomy places the organism in Eukaryota, Metazoa, Arthropoda, Insecta, Orthoptera, Acrididae.